Molecule: ribosomal RNA, 491 nt
Filed under: uncultured bacterium
Lineage: Bacteria
Description: partial 16S ribosomal RNA
Rfam family: Bacterial small subunit ribosomal RNA
Source: RNAcentral
AGUGAACGCUGGCGGUAGGCCUAACACAUGCAAGUCGAACGGCAGCACAGUAAGAGCUUGCUCUUACGGGUGGCGAGUGGCGGACGGUUGAGGAAUACAUCGGAAUCUACUUUUUCGUGGGGGAUAACGUAGGGAAACUUACGCUAAUACCGCAUACGACCUACGGGUGAAAGCAGGGGAUCUUCGGACCUUGCGCGAUUGAAUGAGCCGAUGUCGGAUUAGCUAGUUGGCGGGGUAAAGGCCCACCAAGGCGACGAUCCGUAGCUGGUCUGAGAGGAUGAUCAGCCACACUGGAACUGAGACACGGUCCAGACUCCUACGGGAGGCAGCAGUGGGGAAUAUUGGACAAUGGGCGCAAGCAUGAUCCAGCCAUACCGCGUGGGUGAAGAAGGCCUGCGGGUUGUAAAGCCCUUUUGUUGGGAAAGAAAAGCAGCAGGUUAAUACCCCGCUGUUCUGACGGUACCCAAAGAAUAAGCACCGGCUAACUUCGU